RNAcentral lists this transfer RNA (74 nucleotides) under Mesorhizobium sp. M7A.F.Ca.US.011.01.1.1. RNAcentral's name for it is "tRNA-Lys". It matches the Rfam family "tRNA". Rfam says of the family: Transfer RNA (tRNA) molecules are approximately 80 nucleotides in length. Their secondary structure includes four short double-helical elements and three loops (D, anti-codon, and T loops). Further hydrogen bonds mediate the characteristic L-shaped molecular structure. tRNAs have two regions of fundamental functional importance: the anti-codon, which is responsible for specific mRNA codon recognition, and the 3' end, to which the tRNAs corresponding amino acid is attached (by aminoacyl-tRNA synthetases). tRNAs cope with the degeneracy of the genetic code in two manners: having more than one tRNA (with a specific anti-codon) for a particular amino acid; and 'wobble' base-pairing, i.e. permitting non-standard base-pairing at the 3rd anti-codon position. Lineage: Bacteria; Pseudomonadati; Pseudomonadota; Alphaproteobacteria; Hyphomicrobiales; Phyllobacteriaceae. The record is from RNAcentral. RNAcentral also lists the same sequence under 2 other names.
GCGGAUGUAGCUCAACUGGGAGAGCGCCGGAUUUUGUCCGGAGGUUGUGGGUUCGAGUCCCGUCGUCUGCACCA